CCAAUAGCGUAUAUUAAAGUUGUUGCAGUUAAAAAGCUCGUAGUUGAACUUCGGGGUCUACCCAUUGGUCAGGCUUAAUUGUCUGUACUGGUGAGAUGGAUCUCUACCUUCUGAGGAACUUUCAUGCCAUUUAUUUGGUGUGAUUGGAAAUCAGGACUGUUACUUUGAAAAAAUUAGAGUGUUUAAAGCAGACUAUCGUCUGAAUACAUUAGCAUGGAAUAAUGAAAUAGGACGGACUGAUUCUAUUUCGUUGGUUUCUAGGAUCACCGUAAUGAUUAAUAGGGAUAGUUGGGGGCAUUAGUAUUCAAUUGUCAGAGGUGAAAUUCUUGGAUUUAUUGAAGACUAACUACUGCGAAAGCAUUUGCCAAGGAUGUUUUCAUUAAUCAAGAACGAAAGUUAGGGGAUCGAAGACGAUCAGAUACCGUCGUAGUCUUAACCAUAAACUAUGCCGACUAGGGAUCGGAUGAUGUUAAUUUUUUAAUGACUCAUUCGGCGCCUUACG
This 502-nucleotide ribosomal RNA is filed under the name uncultured Glomeromycotina. RNAcentral describes it as "partial small subunit ribosomal RNA". It matches the Rfam family "Eukaryotic small subunit ribosomal RNA", at positions 591 to 1092 of the family's 1831-position model. The record is from RNAcentral. Lineage: Eukaryota; Fungi; Glomeromycota.